GGAGAUUCUGGAAAUAUUCACGAUGAAUAAAGAACCACCAGAAUAUUAUGAUGAAAUUCAAGGGUGUAAAGUGCAGUCGAACUCCACCAAUGAAAUUCACACUUGGCAUCUGUCGCGCGGUAUGCCCAUACCCACCAGCACUGGACAGAUUGUGCCUUCAAUUGUGAAACUGCCAAAGCGGAAAUUGAAACCACCUGAUGAUUGAUCCAGUUUCAGGGAAGUUUUUGUUAGUUUGCUUUCGUUUUUAUUUUUAUUUUUCUUUUUCUUGUCUUUUAUGCUUUCUUUGUUUUGUGUCUUUGUUCUUAGUAUUUCCCCACACAAUGAGGACAUUGUGUUGUUUAAGUGUGGGGGAGUUUUUAUGUCUUUUGUCUUGAGUCUGUGUGCAUGUUUUGUUUUGGUCUUCCUUUUGAGUCUGUCUAUGGCAACUUUUCAUGCGAGCAUUUCGAUUUGUUAGGAUGAGCAUAUUGAUAUGGAUUGGAUGGUUGUUUUCUUGGAUGAUACAAAAAUGUGUUGAAACCCAUAUGUGUUUGAGGAUGACGAAUGUGCAAAUUGAUCAAUUUUGUUGAAAACCACUCAUAUAGUGAGGAUUGAGCCUUUAGAGCAAUAACUUGAAUGCUCCUUGCUUGUUUUCGAUGAGUGUUAUGCAUUCUUGACUUCUUGAUAUUCGGUUUGCCAUGUUGCCAUAAUAAAUUUUUAAACAACCAAUUGGACUCAUUUGUGAAGAUGAUUUAGGCAUUAGGAAUGAACCUCAUUGGCCUUAAAAAUAUCCUACCUUUCAAUAUUCAUUAGUGAGCCAUUUUGAAGCCUUGACCCUUUUUAUUGUUAUAUAUGAUUGAAGCCUCGAAAAUUUUAGCCAUUAGCCUUCUUUUAGCCUUGCUUUGUCCAUUUCCAGCAUGAUGCAAGUGGUUUGUUUUGUGAUAUUACUUUGUUGGAAGAAUAAGGUUGAUUGAAAUUUAGUGCUUGGUUGGAAUGAUUGAGGAUUGAAAUUGACAAAAGAGGUUGUUGGUUGUUUAAAAAUGAGGUGAUCUUAUGAUGUUAAUUCAAAAAAAAAAAAAAAGCAAAAAAAAAACAAAAAAACAAAAAAAAAGAAAAAGAAAAAAAAAGAAAAAAAGAAGAAUGCUGGAGUUUGAAUGUCUAUGUAUUGGGAAUAAGGGUUGAUUUGAUUUAGUUUGAUUUUGGGAUUAGAAUGUGGUGAACUACUUGCAUUGUGUUGGUUUUAUUAGCCUUGUUUAUCCACUUUUGUUUAUCCUACCUAUGCACCCUAGCCCCAUUACAACCUUGUGGAAAGACCUAUUGAUUCAUGGAUAAGUUCAGUUUUCGAAUUGAAGAUAUUGA
RNAcentral lists this long non-coding RNA (1335 nucleotides) under Salvia miltiorrhiza (redroot sage). RNAcentral's name for it is "long non-coding RNA (SMIL_LNC014356)". The record is from RNAcentral. Lineage: Eukaryota; Viridiplantae; Streptophyta; Magnoliopsida; Lamiales; Lamiaceae.